GACCUCAAAUCAGGUAGGAAUACCCGCUGAACUUAAGCAUAUCAAUAAGCGGAGGAAAAGAAACCAACAGGGAUUGCCUCAGUAGCGGCGAGUGAAGCGGCAAGAGCUCAGAUUUGAAAUCGCAGCGCAUGCUGCGAGUUGUAGAUUGCAGGUGGGAGAGUCUGCGUAGACCGGUGUCGAAGUCCCUUGGAACAGGGCGCCAGUGAGGGUGAGAGCCCCGUGCGAUGCCGUGCUUCUGCGCUUUGUACUCCCCUCUGACGAGUCGAGUUGUUUGGGAAUGCAGCUCUAAGUGGGUGGUAAAUUCCAUCUAAGGCUAAAUACUGGCGAGAGACCGAUAGCGAACAAGUACUGUGAAGGAAAGAUGAAAAGCACUUUGAAAAGAGAGUGAAACAGCACGUGAAAUUGUUGAAAGGGAAGGGUAUUGGGCCCGACAUGGGAAUCGCGCACCGCUGCUCCUUGUGGGCGGCGCUCUGGGCUUUUCCUGGGCCAGCAUCGGUUCUUGCUGCAGGAGAAGGGGCUGUGGAAUGUGGCUGCCGCGCUUUUGUCGGGGCAGUGUUUAUAGCCACUGGGCCAGAUGCUGCGUGUGGGGACCGAGGACUGCGACCGCAAGGUCUCGGAUGCUGGCACAACGGCGCAAUACCGCCCGUCUUGAAACAUGGACCAAGGAGUCUAACGUCUAUGCGAGUGUUUGGGUGUAAAACCCGUACGCGUAAUGAAAGUGAACGUAGGUCGGACCACGCAAGUGGGCACGAUCGACCGAUCCUGAUGUUUAUCGGAUGGAUUUGAGUAAGAGCAUAGCUGUUGGGACCCGAAAGAUGGUGAACUAUGCCUGAAUAGGGUGAAGCCAGAGGAAACUCUGGUGGAGGCUCGUAGCGGUUCUGACGUGCAAAUCGAUCGUCG
Molecule: ribosomal RNA, 900 nt
Rfam family: Eukaryotic large subunit ribosomal RNA